RNAcentral lists this ribosomal RNA (97 nucleotides) under Klebsiella pneumoniae. RNAcentral's name for it is "partial 23S ribosomal RNA". The stretch from base 1 to 83 matches the Rfam family "Bacterial large subunit ribosomal RNA", at positions 2843 to 2925 of the family's 2925-position model. The record is from RNAcentral. Lineage: Bacteria; Pseudomonadati; Pseudomonadota; Gammaproteobacteria; Enterobacterales; Enterobacteriaceae.
GACGAUGACGUUGAUAGGCCGGGUGUGUAAGCGCAGCGAUGCGUUGAGCUAACCGGUACUAAUGAACCGUGAGGCUUAACCUCACAACCCGAAGAUG